This 440-nucleotide ribosomal RNA is filed under the name uncultured bacterium. Its description in RNAcentral is "partial 16S ribosomal RNA". It matches the Rfam family "Bacterial small subunit ribosomal RNA", at positions 338 to 795 of the family's 1533-position model. The record is from RNAcentral.
CCUACGGGCGGCAGCAGUGGGGAAUAUUGCACAAUGGGGGAAACCCUGAUGCAGCGACGCCGCGUGAGUGAAGAAGUAAUUCGUUACGUAAAGCUCUAUCAGCAGGGAAGAAAAUGACGGUACCUGAGUAAGAAGCCCCGGCUAACUACGGGCCAGCAGCAGCGGUAAUCCGGAGGGGGCAAGCGGUAUCCGGAUUUACGUGGGGGAAAGGGUGCGUAGAAGGUUCGCCAAGUCAGGAGUUAAAUGCCGCAGCUUAACUGCGGAACCGCUUUGGAAACUGGCGAACUAGAGUGCGGGAGAGGUAAGCGGAAUUCCGAGUGUAGCGGUGAAAUGCGUAGAUAUUAGGAGGAACACCGGUGGCGAAGGCGGCUUACUGGACCGUAACUGACGUUGAGGCUCGAAAGCGUGGGGAGCAAACAGGAGUAGAUACCCCUGUAGUC